AAUAAGAUCGUUUUUUAGUUUUUUGAUAUAAUGUUUUAACUCUUUGUCUUAUUUAAAAUUUUUUUGCGAUUAAUAUUUUUAUUCUUACUAGAUGAAAAAACAUGAAUAAUACUUUAUGCGUGACUAAUUUUUUUAAGUUUUUAUAUAAAAUUUUCAAAUAAGACGAAUUGUCAAACGUUAAACACGGAAAA
This 191-nucleotide microRNA precursor is filed under the name Oryza brachyantha (malo sina). RNAcentral's name for it is "MIR812 microRNA precursor family". It matches the Rfam family "MIR812 microRNA precursor family". The record is from Rfam by way of RNAcentral. Lineage: Eukaryota; Viridiplantae; Streptophyta; Magnoliopsida; Poales; Poaceae.